GUCCUUAUGAAUUUAAUUUAAGGUUUGACCUGCCCACUGAAAUUAUUUGAAGGGCCGCAGUAAUUUGACUGUGCAAAGGUAGCAUAAUCAUUAGUUUUUUAAUUAAAAGCUUGUAUGAAGGGUUGGACGAGGUAAAUUCUGUCUCUAUUUAAUUUAAUAUAGAAUUUAAUUUUUAAGUUAAAAAGCUUAAAUUUUUUUAAAAGACGAGAAGACCCUAUAGAUCUUUAUAUUAUAAUUAUUAAUUUUAAUUAAGAAUAUUUUAUUUUUUAUUAUUUAUAUUAUUUUAUUGGGGUAAUAAAAAGAUUAAUUGAAUUCUUUUUUUAUUUUUACAUUAAUAAAUGAUUAUAUGAUCCAAUUUUAUUGAUUAAAAGAUUAAGUUACCUUAGGGAUAACAGCGUAAUUUUUUUAGAGAGUUCAUAUCGAUAAAAAAGUUUGCGACCUCGAUGUUGGAUUAAAAAUUAUCUUAGGUGCAGAAGUUUAAGAUUUUGGUCUGUUCGACCAUUAAAUUUUU
This 511-nucleotide ribosomal RNA is filed under the name Agabus dilatatus. RNAcentral describes it as "partial 16S ribosomal RNA". The stretch from base 388 to 511 matches the Rfam family "Bacterial large subunit ribosomal RNA", at positions 2473 to 2597 of the family's 2925-position model. Lineage: Eukaryota; Metazoa; Arthropoda; Insecta; Coleoptera; Dytiscidae. The record is from RNAcentral. RNAcentral also lists the same sequence under 1 other name.